CCUUCGAAAUUUCAUUCCCGUGCUGAUAAGUUUUUCAGCCCCUGUUCAGCACAACCCCAACAAAUCAGCCAUGUUUGUAAAUUAAAUAAGUCCUCUCCUCAGCUGCUAAAUUAAAGUUCAUUACUUUUUGUCCCAUAGGAAAUCUUUGCAGCUUUCUAAUAAUCAACUACCAUAUGAAACUAGCAUAAAACAUAGCAAAAAGGUUAUAGGGAUUUCUCAAGAUAGACACAUUUAUUCAGUGCUUCAGGAAAGUUCAUCUCUAUCAGGCUUUACUGCUUGAAGGUUUGUCAGGUCACAGAGCUCAUAUCUACAAUACUCCUUAAUGAGUAUUUCAAGGAAAGUGCAGCAGGGAACACUUUCCUGGGAAAAAAACUCUAUGCCAAAAAUUGGUUAAGGACAGGCAAGGAGGAGCAAAGCAAAACAUCUGUGGAGAGAAAAGUCAACAAAUUUCGAGAGCCAAAGUGUCGUUUGUUCUAAAAUCAUAGAGGUCAGGUUAAGGAAUCCUCUCUGCAGGAUCAUAAGUACCAGUUGGGAGCCAAGUACAAAGGAAAGGCAAAGAGGGAGCAUCUGCACAACAUAAAAUCUGCCUGUUUGCAGCCUUAUGAUCAGUUUAACCAUUUCUUCAAGUAACAGAAGAAGCUGAAGAGUAUUAUCUUGCAACCAGGCAAUGAUAAAUGCCAGUUUAUGAUUACACGUAUUUAUCCUCAUCGGAAUAUUACACAAGAGCUAGGAAAUGUAAAUUGAGAUCCCUCUCUGGACUUUAUCAUCUGACUUGAUUAUUAUAGUUUAACUAAACAUCUGUAUACAACUAAAAAAAUUGCCAUUGAAUUAGUUUGUGGGAGGACAUCGCUGUUGUUCAGCACCCAUUAUAAUAAUUUCCUAAGAAAACAGUUUCUUCUCAAAUUUCUUUUCAGUAUGUACAUUCUUGGAGAAGAGGAUUACUGUGUUUUUUUAUUGUUCCUUUCCCCCAGUUCAUUGCUGGUACUGCAAAGUACCAGGCAAUCAGAAUGAUCCUCGUUUCAAGGCACGGCACCACUAAUGUAAUUUUUUCCUAACGU
This 1058-nucleotide long non-coding RNA is filed under the name Cyanistes caeruleus (blue tit). RNAcentral's name for it is "lncRNA (ENSCCEG00000013837.1)". The record is from RNAcentral. Lineage: Eukaryota; Metazoa; Chordata; Aves; Passeriformes; Paridae.